GUCCCCUGCUCACCCGGUGGCAAAGCCGGCGAGGAGGCGGCGGCGCUGGUGGGGACUGACCCGGCAGUCCGAGAAUCCACCGCGGCCUUUUCACCCAACCGCCCCCUCCUGCGUGGGGGCCCCGCAUCCCCUGGACUGGCGUGGGCUCUGGGGCCCGAUGCCCUGGCAGCCCCGGCCAUCUCUGCCGCUGGCCGCGGGUACCUGCUCACCUGUCCACGCCGUGGCCGACCCGGGGAUCACCGACAGCCGGGCCAUGCCUCGAGUCCCGCCGCCCGCGCCGCUGCUCGGCUUCUCAGAAACGCACCUCCACGCCGCCAGCCGGGGCUCCAGGGUCCACCGCCCGGGCCCGGAGGACUGGCGACUCCCUCCGAGGUUGGGAGCGCUCCGGAUUUCUCCAACUUCAGGCAGUGUGGAUGGGGCUCAUGAAAUAGAGAAAUAUAGAGGAACAAGAUAUGUGUGUAUCUCCAAAGAGUUUAUGGUUCAUGCAGAGUCAGGCAUCAAUGAUCACAACUCCAGUCUUCAUGCAGAGCACGUCUCUUCAACAGUAUUGCCUGCUCUAUACACUAGGAAACAUUAUGUGGA
Molecule: long non-coding RNA, 582 nt
Filed under: Homo sapiens (human)
Lineage: Eukaryota; Metazoa; Chordata; Mammalia; Primates; Hominidae
Description: non-protein coding lnc-AKIP1-2:10
Source: RNAcentral